AAUGGCACGAUGUAGAUAGUCAUAGUACUCCCUGAUUCGGUUAGUAUAUAAUAAUACUCUUCUCUAUAUAUUUUCGUCACAUUCGUUUCACUUUAUGGUAUAUUCAUACUUUUCUCUGUAAACGUGAUCUUUUAAAGUAGGCGUCACUUGCUUAUCAAAAAGAGCAGGCUUCACAGAAAUUAUCUUCUUUUUUUACCUUUCGUUGCUUUCUUCCCUUCAUUUUUUCCUUGGGGGUAAAAUGGUUAGUAAAUUAAGAGAAUCAUAUAAUAAUCAGGUACUUUUUCCUUUUUAAUGCUUUAUCAUCUAUCUUUUUGGUUACUUAUUUUGGUUUAAGAGUACUCUAUAGUUUUUAUUUCUACAAUGAUCUGCGAUUGCGUACUUUUCUACAGGACCAAAGUCGUCUAUGUCUCUAAUAUAAGCUCUCUUUUUUCUAUUUGGACAUGAAUUAGGAUUCUCAGUUAAAGCUGGUGGUGUUGCCGUGAUAUUUUACAGGUUUGUUAUGUGAAGUGAAAGAAAAAAUGAGAUGUGAUGGUGUAAUGAAAAAGAAACCAAAAGAGUGAAGAAUGUGAAAAAAUAAACGGGAGAAGGGGAGAGUGCUAUUUUGUAAUGUCGGUGAUGAUAUAGUGAUAUGUGGUGAAGAUUUGGUUUUCGUGCAGUUGUGAGUGAUUACUUGCUUGUGCUCCUUAGGCUAUUGCAACAAUCAACGAUGGAAAGGGAAUCACAUUCCAAUUUGAUAGAGCAACCUCUUUUUGAAAAAGUUUCUAACCUUCAAGGUUCUAUAUCCUAUACUUUUUAGUCUUUGAGGAGAUGAGGCUAAGUGCUGGUUAGCACGUGGUUUGUUUUUCUUUUCCUCACUAUUAUAGAAAUAUUUGAUGUUGUUUGGAACUAAGAUUAUAUUAUACUGUGUUGCUCUUUGUUUAGUGUCUAGAGAAGCUAUUAUAACAGAUUAUUUGUAUUAUAGGACUUGAUGACACUUGUAAUGAUCCAACCGGUCAUUUUGACUUUUAGAACCCCCGUUCCCCAAAAUAAAACUCUG
RNAcentral lists this long non-coding RNA (1036 nucleotides) under Nicotiana tabacum (common tobacco). RNAcentral describes it as "long non-coding RNA (NTAB_LNC003075)". The record is from RNAcentral. Lineage: Eukaryota; Viridiplantae; Streptophyta; Magnoliopsida; Solanales; Solanaceae.